RNAcentral lists this ribosomal RNA (441 nucleotides) under uncultured bacterium. RNAcentral's name for it is "partial 16S ribosomal RNA". It matches the Rfam family "Bacterial small subunit ribosomal RNA", at positions 338 to 795 of the family's 1533-position model. The record is from RNAcentral.
CCUACGGGAGGCAGCAGUGGGGGAUAUUGCACAAUGGGGGGAACCCUGAUGCAGCGACGCCGCGUCGGUGAAGGAGUGCUUCGGCAUGUAAAGCCCUAUCGGCAGGGAAGAAGCAAGACGGUACCUGACUAAGAAGCCCCGGCUAACUACGUGCCAGCAGCCGCGGUAAUACGUAGGGGGCGAGCGUUAUCCGGAUUCACUGGGUGUAAAGGGAGCGUAGACGGCCAUGCAAGCCAGGGGUGAAAGCCCGGGGCCCAACCCCGGGACUGCCCUUGGAACUGCAUGGCUGGAGUGCGGGAGGGGCAGGCGGAAUUCCUGGUGUAGCGGUGAAAUGCGUAGAUAUCACGCAGAACCCCGAUUGCGAAGGCAGCAUACCGGCGCCCGACUGACACUGAGGCUCGAAAGUGUGGGUAUCAAACAGGAUUAGAUACCCUAGUAGUC